UGGGGAAUCUUGGACAAUGGGGGCAACCCUGAUCCAGCCAUGCCGCGUGAGUGAUGAAGGCCUUAGGGUCGUAAAGCUCUUUCGCCUGUGAAGAUAAUGACGGUAGCAGGUAAAGAAACCCCGGCUAACUCCGUGCCAGCAGCCGCGGUAAUACGGAGGGGGUUAGCGUUGUUCGGAAUUACUGGGCGUAAAGCGCACGUAGGCGGACCAGAAAGUUGGGGGUGAAAUCCCGGGGGCUCAACCCCGGAACUGCCUCCAAAACUAUUGGUCUAGAGUUCGAGAGAGGUGAGUGGAAUUCCAAGUGUAGAGGUGAAAUUCGUAGAUAUUUGGAGGAACACCAGUGGCGAAGGCGGCUCACUGGCUCGAUACUGACGCUGAGGUGCGAAAGUGUGGGGAGCAAACAGGAUUAGAUACCCUGGUAGUCCACACCGUAAACGAUGAAUGCCAGUCGUCGGGUAGCAUGCUAUU
This 468-nucleotide ribosomal RNA is filed under the name uncultured bacterium. RNAcentral describes it as "bacterial SSU rRNA". It matches the Rfam family "Bacterial small subunit ribosomal RNA", at positions 355 to 840 of the family's 1533-position model. The record is from RNAcentral.